UACAGAGGGUGCGAGCGUUAAUCGGAAUUACUGGGCGUAAAGGGCGCGUAGGCGGCCUACUAAGUCGAACGUGAAAUCCCUGGGCUCAACCCAGGAACUGCGUCCGAUACUGGUUGGCUUGAAUCCGGGAGAGGGACGUGGAAUUCCAGGUGUAGCGGUGAAAUGCGUAGAUAUCUGGAGGAACACCGGUGGCGAAGGCGACGGCCUGGACCGGCAUUGACGCUGAGGCGCGAAAGCCAGGGGAGCAAACGGG
This 253-nucleotide ribosomal RNA is filed under the name uncultured bacterium. Its description in RNAcentral is "partial 16S ribosomal RNA". It matches the Rfam family "Bacterial small subunit ribosomal RNA", at positions 524 to 776 of the family's 1533-position model. The record is from RNAcentral.